RNAcentral lists this ribosomal RNA (468 nucleotides) under uncultured bacterium. RNAcentral describes it as "partial 16S ribosomal RNA". It matches the Rfam family "Bacterial small subunit ribosomal RNA", at positions 28 to 507 of the family's 1533-position model. The record is from RNAcentral.
GACGAACGCUGGCGGCGUGCUUAACACAUGCAAGUCGAACGGAAAGGCCCGGCUUUUGUGGGGUGCUCGAGUGGCGAACGGGUGAGUAACACGUGAGUAACCUGCCCUUGACUUUGGGAUAACUUCAGGAAACUGGGGCUAAUACCGGAUAGGAGCUCCUGCUGCAUGGUGGGGGUUGGAAAGUUUCGGCGGUUGGGGAUGGACUCGCGGCUUAUCAGCUUGUUGGUGGGGUAGUGGCUUACCAAGGCUUUGACGGGUAGCCGGCCUGAGAGGGUGACCGGCCACAUUGGGACUGAGAUACGGCCCAGACUCCUACGGGAGGCAGCAGUGGGGAAUAUUGCACAAUGGGCGGAAGCCUGAUGCAGCAACGCCGCGUGCGGGAUGACGGCCUUCGGGUUGUAAACCGCUUUCGCCUGUGGCGAAGCGUGAGUGACGGUAAUGGGUAAAGAAGCACCGGCUAACUACGUG